CAACUGAGAUUGCCUUAGUAAUGGCGAAUGAACCGGCAAAAGCUCAUUGCUGAAGCGUGUUAGAUUUACUUCUGACAUGCAUUGUAGCAUUUGGGGUAACUACUGUAUGGUGCCUGUUCGUGUGAGUUCCUUUGAUCAGGGCUUUAACCAUAGAAGGUGCUAGUCCUAUAAUCACGAAUAGUUCUGUGCCGUACAUUGUCUACCUUUCGAGUAGCGUAGUUUGAGAUUGCUACGCCAACGUGGGACGUAAACUUGUUCCAAAGCUAAAUAUUAUAACGAGACCGAUAGCGAACAAGUACCGUGAGGGAAAGUUGAAAAGCACUCUGAAGAGAGAGUUAAAUAGUACGUAAAACCGUACAGAAGAAAACGAAUGGCCGCAUUCAUCAGAUUACUUUGGAUUCAAUUCGAUUUCUAUAUGAUGGUAAUACAUGUUGAUUUGGAACUUCAACAGUCCAUUGAUAUGUUCUUGCCUAGAAUCGGAUGCAUUUUCAAAGUAUUAACUGAACCUGGAUCUAUAACAUUACAGCUAGUCGAAUCAGUCUAUUUUGGUAGCGACUUUUAGUCGUGUUAAAAAUAUGACUUGCAUAAAUAACAAAUUCGACUUGGCGUUAUAGGUAAACUGACGUGUUCUUUGAUUUCAGUACUUUCGAGUACGGCACGCCAUGAGCAUUGUUUGUGUUACAUGAGUAACUAAUAUCUAAACAAUAUUAGUUUUAUUCAUUGUCAAUGCCUAAUGUUUUGUGGCUGUCAAUGAAAUCGGCAAGUCAACAGGAGUUUUGAAUGCCGAGUUAUUCGACCCGUCUUGAAACACGGUCUAAGGAGUUCACUGCAUGUGCAAGAGUUCGGCUGUAUGAAAAGCCUUGCUCGUAAUGAAAGUAAAGAACAUUCUUGCAAUGUUUGAAGUGUGAUUUCUGUCAUCUUGGUGCAAAUCAUGACAAUGAACGCAACACUGACAGGUUCUAUUGCCGCUGGCAAAGAGCUUAGUAAGAGUAUAUGCAAUGAGACCCGAAAGAUGGUGAACUUAACGUGUGUAGAAUGAAGCCAGGGGAAACCCUGGUGGAAGUUCGUAGCGGUUCUGACGUGCAAAUCGAUCGUCAAACAUGCGUAUAGGGGCGAAAGACUAAUCGAACCAUCUA
RNAcentral lists this ribosomal RNA (1136 nucleotides) under Adineta vaga. RNAcentral describes it as "eukaryotic LSU rRNA". It matches the Rfam family "Eukaryotic large subunit ribosomal RNA", at positions 66 to 946 of the family's 3401-position model. The record is from RNAcentral. Lineage: Eukaryota; Metazoa; Rotifera; Eurotatoria; Adinetida; Adinetidae.